This 584-nucleotide long non-coding RNA is filed under the name Amborella trichopoda. RNAcentral describes it as "long non-coding RNA (ATRI_LNC000834)". Lineage: Eukaryota; Viridiplantae; Streptophyta; Magnoliopsida; Amborellales; Amborellaceae. The record is from RNAcentral.
AUAGGGACAACUAAUGAGAUUGAACCCUUGUUUGUUGAUUCCCAACAAAUCAUAAGACCGUUUAAUACAACGGGGGCAACUAAUGAGAUUGAAUCCUUCUUUGUUGACUCCCAACAGGUUGUAAGGCCAACUAGUACCAACUCAGCCACUCCUCUUGUGCGAGAGUCUCACCUAAGCUCGAGCUCUAAGAAGGAGUCUACUACGGAGUUAACCCCCGACAAACAAUUCGAAAUUUGCAAUGAAAAAGGCUACCGAAAAGAAGUUGGGGGAUCACUCACCCCUUGCAAAUAACUAAAUGAGUCAUUCAUGUAUCACCCUUCAAAAGGCAUUAACGUCAAAUGUGUAACAUGAAGUACUCCAUUAACGGGAAAACCCUGAUGAGCCUAUUUGUCCAUACAAAAGGCUAAGGGAUUUGAAAACUGUGCGUGAUAUUUAGUCCCAAAAUCAAGGUUAAAGUGGAGCAGUUUAAAGGAAAAGUUCAACGGAAAUUUAACAACCAUUGUCAAAGAGAUUUUGGAUGCCAACCUGGGUCAAGGGAAAUCAGAGGAAGACCGAUAUUAGAACCUCCCUACCACUUGGAGGAG